AACGAACGCUGGCGGCGUGCCUAACACAUGCAAGUCGUGCGAGAAAGUUCCUUCGGGAGCGAGUAAAGCGGCGCACGGGUGAGUAACACGUAGGUAACCUGCCCCCCAGUCUGGAACAACUAGAGGAAACUCUAGCUAAUGCCGGAUGAGACCACGAUCCCUUCGGGGGUUGCGGCCAAAGAUGGCCUCUACUUGUAAGCUAUCGCUGAGGGAUGGGCCUGCGGGCCAUUAGCUUGUUGGUGAGGUAACGGCUCACCAAGGCUGUGAUGGCUAGCUGGUCUGAGAGGAUGACCAGCCACACUGGGACUGAGACACGGUCCAGACUCCUACGGGAGGCAGCAGUGGGGAAUAUUGCGCAAUGGGCGAAAGCCUGACGCAGCGACGCCGCGUGGGUGAUGAAGGCCU
Molecule: ribosomal RNA, 405 nt
Filed under: uncultured bacterium
Lineage: Bacteria
Description: bacterial SSU rRNA
Rfam family: Bacterial small subunit ribosomal RNA
Source: RNAcentral